This is a long non-coding RNA of Microplitis mediator, 1862 nucleotides long. RefSeq lists it as uncharacterized. The transcript is spliced from 6 exons. Lineage: Eukaryota; Metazoa; Arthropoda; Insecta; Hymenoptera; Braconidae. The record is from RefSeq and is a predicted model, not a curated record.
AUUUGACUAAAAUAAAAUAGAGAGAGUGAGAGUACAAAAUAAAUAAUUUUGUUUUUCAAAUUUCGCGCGCUUAUUCCGAGUAAUUUGAAUUUAAUUCAAAUUUUAUUAACAUUUAACUAAAAUGAAAUAAUUCAAGUGAGAGAACAAGAAACAAAAGUGAAAAAUAAUUAUUUUCAAAUUUCGCGCGCUUAUUUCGGGAGAUUUAAAUUUUAUUUUUAAACUUUCAAAUUAUAUUUACCCUGAAGUUUAAAUGUAACUUUAAUAGACACGCAAUAAUACUUGUACACUGAAUUUUAUUACUUGAAGCUCUUAUUUUUACCCUUUAUUUUAUUUAUUACCCAAAUUUUAUGGGAGUAUAAAUUUAAAACACAGUAAUUUAUCACACCUUGAAAAUUAACUUUAAACAAAAUUUAUCUGCUUUAAAUUAUCAAUGGGUAGUUAAAUAAAUUUUUUAUAAGAGUGUGCACGUGGUUUAAUUAUUUUCACGGUUUAUAACAAUAAAACGAUGUACCCGACCCGAGAGCUUGCUGCUCACUGACAGUUUCUGCUCCGUAGUUUUGUGGACUCCGCGCCCCACUACUUUUUAUCACUCCCACCCUUAGAUAAGACUUUUUCCCAGCAGGAAGAUACUCAUAUUUAUAUAUAUACAUAUUUAUAAAUAUUAUUUGAUAUUUAUGGUGUAAAUUAUUAUAAAUUAAUAAUCUGUCGUUGUCUUCACAUUAUUGUUUCAUUACCACUAGGUUAUGUUUUACACUAAUGACAAGAUGACAUUACUACUGGAUUAUUUAAUUACCUGUGAAGUUAACGACCGAAAAAUUAAAUUCGUAAUUAUGGAAUAGUUCAAAUGAAUUUACUUAUUUUAAAUAUUUAAAUUACGAAGAUUUUAAAAAAUUGAAUAAUUAAUUAGACACAAUCUGCCAGCGAACGUUGAAGAAAACUGCAAAGAUUUUUUAAAUAAUUAAAUACUAGAGGUACAGUGAAAGGAUAAAUAUUAAAUCCCAGAAUUUGAAUCAGCUCUCGCUGAAACUCCACGAAAAUUUCAUUGUUUACUAAAGUACACGGCUCUUUUAAAAUCCAAAGCUGACAGACGAAUUCACAAGUUCCAUAUAUGAAUACGACGUUAGUAUACCAGUGAUGUAAAUUUAAUGCACCUUCUAUACCGCUUUCAAUGAGUUUUCUUGCGAUUUUUAUCGCAAAAUUGCGACUUGAAGGGACCAGCCUGUUGGAGAAGAAAAACCGAAGCGAUCCGCAUAUAAAAGACUUUGUGAUAUCAUCGGGCUUUUCAUCUGAAAAAAAUUACAUUUUUUUUUACAAACAAUUAAAAAUUAUUUUAAAUAUUUAAUUAAACCCAAUCAAUAAUUAGCGAGAUUCCGCUUGAUUACCAUUUAAUUUUACUGGUGCACGUCACAAGUACAAAAUUUUUAAUUGAUGAUGAUAGUAAUUGAAAAAAUAUAUAAUCAGUAAGAAAAUAAAUAAUUAUCUGUGAUCAAUAACUUUACAAGUAAAAAACACAGAAAGAGAGAACUGGGAGUCGGGUAAUUUAUUUUACUGACAACAAUUAAUUUUAAAAUAAUGAAGUACAGUACAGAUGAUAGAUUAAAAUAAUCGACAAGUUAACAAGUAGUAGAAUAAUGUUAAGACUUUUCUUAGAAAGUUCAACAGCCGCAAAAUAAUAUCUUUUAAAAUAAAUACUCAAUCUUUAUCUUCAACAAACAAUAUAAUUUAUUUUAUUAUUUUUUAUUAUUAGAUUUCUAUUUAUAACUCAGUAAAAUAUUAUUUUAUGUCCUAUGAAAUAAUUAAAUUUCUUAAUUGAAUAAAUUUAUACUUUUCGAUACCCGUACUUAUAACUAAUCGAUUUUAUU